Molecule: unclassified non-coding RNA, 485 nt
Filed under: uncultured Glomus
Lineage: Eukaryota; Fungi; Glomeromycota; Glomeromycetes; Glomerales; Glomeraceae
Description: SSU rRNA
Rfam family: Eukaryotic small subunit ribosomal RNA
Source: RNAcentral
AGCAGCCGCGGUAAUUCCAGCUCCAAUAGCGUAUAUUAAAGUUGUUGCAGUUAAAAAGCUCGUAGUUGAAUUUCGGGAUCAAUAUGUUGGUCGUGCCUCGGUACGUACUAGCUUAUUGGUUUCUCCUUUCUGAAGAACCAUGAUGUCAUUUAUUUGGUGUCGUGGGGAAUCAGGACUGUUACUUUGAAAAAAUUAGAGUGUUUAAAGCAGGCUCACGCUUGAAUACAUUAGCAUGGAAUAAUGAAAUAGGACGUUUGAUUCUAUUUUGUUGGUUUCUAGGAUCGACGUAAUGAUUAAUAGGGAUAGUUGGGGGCAUUAGUAUUCAAUUGUCAGAGGUGAAAUUCUUGGAUUUAUUGAAGACUAACUACUGCGAAAGCAUUUGCCAAGGAUGUUUUCAUUAAUCAAGAACGAAAGUUAGGGGAUCGAAGACGAUCAGAUACCGUCGUAGUCUUAACCAUAAACUAUGCCGACUAGGGAUCGGAUGA